RNAcentral lists this ribosomal RNA (645 nucleotides) under Aquamicrobium terrae. RNAcentral describes it as "bacterial SSU rRNA". It matches the Rfam family "Bacterial small subunit ribosomal RNA", at positions 64 to 755 of the family's 1533-position model. The record is from RNAcentral. Lineage: Bacteria; Pseudomonadati; Pseudomonadota; Alphaproteobacteria; Hyphomicrobiales; Phyllobacteriaceae.
GAGCGCCCUGCUUGCAGGGAGCGGCAGACGGGUGAGUAACGCGUGGGAAUCUACCCAGCUCUACGGAAUAACACAGGGAAACUUGUGCUAAUACCGUAUACGUCCUCCGGGAGAAAGAUUUAUCGGAGUUGGAUGAGCCCGCGUUAGAUUAGCUAGUUGGUGGGGUAAUGGCCUACCAAGGCGACGAUCUAUAGCUGGUCUGAGAGGAUGAUCAGCCACACUGGGACUGAGACACGGCCCAGACUCCUACGGGAGGCAGCAGUGGGGAAUAUUGGACAAUGGGCGCAAGCCUGAUCCAGCCAUGCCGCGUGAGUGAUGAAGGCCUUAGGGUUGUAAAGCUCUUUCAACGGUGAAGAUAAUGACGGUAGCCGUAGAAGAAGCCCCGGCUAACUUCGUGCCAGCAGCCGCGGUAAUACGAAGGGGGCUAGCGUUGUUCGGAAUUACUGGGCGUAAAGCGCGCGUAGGCGGACUGAUCAGUUGGGGGUGAAAUCCCGGGGCUCAACCCCGGAACUGCCUUCAAUACUGUCAGUCUAGAGGUCGAGAGAGGUGAGUGGAAUUCCGAGUGUAGAGGUGAAAUUCGUAGAUAUUCGGAGGAACACCAGUGGCGAAGGCGGCUCACUGGCUCGAUACUGACGCUGAGGUGCG